AUUAGUUAUAAUUAAUAAUAAAGCCUGCUCAAUGAAAAUUAAAUAGCCGCUUACAGUGCUAAGGUAGCAUAAUAAUUUGUCUUUUAAUUAAAGACUAGAACAAAAGGCCUAACAUCUUAAUUAAUUUUUUUAAAAAAAUUAAUUUAAAUUAUCUUAAUUGUAAAAAGACAAUUAUAUAAAAGAAAGACGACAAGACCCUAUUGAACUUUACUUUAGUUUAACUGGGGUAGUUAAUUAAUUAUUAUUUUAAAAAAAAUAAAUCACUAAUUUGACCUGAUAUAAUUAAUAAAAUAAUUAAGUUACCAUAGGGAUAACAGCGUAAUAAAAUUUUAAAGAUCUUAUAAAAAAUUAAGAUUGCGACCUCGAUGUUGAUUUAAUAUCCUAAUUUACGCAAUAGUUAAUUAAGGAAGUCUGUUCGACUUUUAAAAAAUUACAUGAUUUGAGUUCAGACCGGUGUAAACCAGGUCGGUUUCUAUCUUCUAAAAUAUUUCUUCUAGUACGAAAGGACCUAAGAAAAUAAUAAUAUU
This 527-nucleotide ribosomal RNA is filed under the name Lycosa hispanica. RNAcentral's name for it is "partial 16S ribosomal RNA". The stretch from base 181 to 481 matches the Rfam family "Bacterial large subunit ribosomal RNA", at positions 2074 to 2646 of the family's 2925-position model. Lineage: Eukaryota; Metazoa; Arthropoda; Arachnida; Araneae; Lycosidae. The record is from RNAcentral.